CACGUCUCGUCUGUCUGAAAGAAAGGCUUGAUGCAGUCCAACGGUUCAAGUUGAUCUUUGCUGAAGUUGGUUGAUGAAAAAGAACCAGUUUGCAACAGAGAAUCUU
This is a long non-coding RNA of Sinocyclocheilus anshuiensis, 106 nucleotides long. RefSeq lists it as uncharacterized. NCBI's taxonomy places the organism in Eukaryota, Metazoa, Chordata, Actinopteri, Cypriniformes, Cyprinidae. The record is from RefSeq and is a predicted model, not a curated record. The transcript has 3 exons.